AGAUCGUCCCGAGCGCGCCGCGGUCCAGGCGGGCACAGCGCAGGGUCAAGUUCACGUCCGGCCCGCGGGCUGCCCGAGGUCCCCGGGCGCGGCUGGGGCAGCGGGAGGCGCGGGAGGCCGAGGUCCGGGUGGCCGCCGCGGCCGCCCCCGAAGCGCUGCUGUCACCCCGGCCGCGCCCCCCAACUUUCUGCACAGUCGCGGAGCUGGAAGUUUCCGGGCUUCGCGGACACGCUGGGCUGGGUUUCAGUCGCGGCUCCGAGACAUGAUCCUCUCUGAGGUUGGUCCUGGGCUUCCAUACGUGAUUCAUGGAAGAGGUCUCAGCCCCAAGAGCCCCUGAGGGUACUGUCCACUCCCCCUGGAAACUUCCAGAACCUGACGUGGGGCUGAAGACAUAGAGGCUCUGAGAGUUACAUAAUUGAUUCUGACUUUGGCUGUUGGUCAACAGUGUCAUAAGGCUGUUGUAGAAUCUGCUCAGCCAGGGAGGGGAAAGGAGUCGGCAAUCAGGUCUCCUCCUGGGCACCUUUGUGAGGCCAGCUGGCGAGAGUGGGGGGUGACACUGAGGUCCCAGCAGCUCCAAAUGCAGGCAGAGCCCUGUCCUCAGAGAAGGUCACAGCCUAGCCAAGCCCAGCCAGGUGGAUGGGCCCACGGAACGCACAGGAACCUGGAACGGAGGUUGAAAGCAGGAAGCACAGUCUGUGACUCCCCAGCCCACUCUGCAUUCGACCACUUGGGGCCCAGAAGCUUCAGGAAAGGUGCACAAGGUCACUGGGUCCCAGUACUCCCAACAGGAAGGUCUGGUCCAGGGACAGGGCUCUUCCCGACUCCCCUUAGCCACACGCACCAGAAGUUCUGCAGUGCCCAGUGGGCAUAGCAGUCCCCAAGAAUGACCCAGCACUGAAGCUGAGCCAAAGAACUUGGGGAGCGAGCCACACCCCCUCACUCCCUCUUCGCCUGCUCCAGACUUGCCAGGCGGUUGCUUUUCGUGGGAACCGGGAUGUCCUCACCACCCUGUCCAGGGCCCAGCCCCAUGUCCCUGGCCUGCUACAGCUGGAAAAAAAAAAGAGAGAUGUUUGUUUUUAUUUGUUUAUAAAAAGAAAAGUGUUAUAUAUAUAACAUAUUAUACCUCAUGAAUACAUACAAUUAUUUGUCAAUUAACAAUAAAGAAAAAUACAGCAAGCAAAAAAGACUCUCUUCCACAAAAAUAGUGUUCAUUACAGAAAAGUACAAAAAAAAAAAAAAAAAACUAAGAGGAUAUUUAGAAUUAAGAAAAAACUAAGAGGGUAUUUAGAAUUAAAAAAUAAAAAGAAAACAAUUACCCAUGAGGUAAUUACUGAAUGCAUUUGGUUGAAAGUCCUUCUGCUAUAUUUUCCAAACUGUAUGUGUAUAUAUGUGCGCAUGCAUAUAUGUGUUUGUGUGUGUGUACACAUAUCUAUAUGAAUGGACCAUAUCGUAAGUUAUAAAUGCAUACAUAUAUUCAUGUAUAUAUAAUCAUUAGAUCAUACUAUAGGUUAUUUUACAGUCUUUUUGUUGAAUACGUUGUGAGCAUUUUAUGUCAUUAUUUUCUACAAGAUUUGAAAAAUAAAGUAUAAAUACCAGUUAAUUUUUGAAAUCAACCUUAUUAAGGAAUAAGUUCCAUGCAGCAAAAUCCCUUUCACCUCUACUGUUCGAUGAGUUUUGACAAUGUAUGCAACCGUGACAUGUAUCACCACGAUCAAGAAAGAAAACAUCACCACAAAAUGUUCCCUAGAGCCCCUUGCAGGCAGUCUCUGACUUCCUGGCAGCCAGCAAUCUGAAUCCAACCACCGUAGAUCAGUUUCAAUUUAUUAAAAAAAAAUUUUAACUCAUGGAGUAUGAACUCUUGCUCGGGAUCCUGCUAUCUAUGUUGUUGAGUUUAUCAAUAGCCCAUUCCUUUUUACUGCUACGUGAUAUUUUAUCAUAUGCCUAUUGACAUUUGUUUACCCACUCACAUACUGAUGGACAAUUGAAUUGUUUGUGUUGUCUGUUUGUUUGUUUUUUGAGACAGGGUCUCACUGUCACCCAGGCUGGAGUGCAGUGGUGCAAUCUCGGCUCACUGCAACCUCUGCCUCCCAGGCUCAAGUGAUCCACCUCGGCCUCCCAAAGUGCUGAAAUUACAGGCGUGAGCCACUGUGCCUGGCCUGUUUCUGAUUUUUUAAAAUGUUUGCUAUUGUGACUAGAACUUUGUGAAUGCCAAUUAAUUUUUACAGUGUUUUAAUGAGCAAUGUCACCCGCACGUGCUGUGAAUGCCCACGCAUGUGGGCACAGCCUGUGUGUUUCCUUCCUGGAGCACUUGAGAUGGGGAAACCAAGAGAUGGGGGGUGAAGAAAGGAGCCAGAGGCCACACAGCUGGUUAGGAACAGGCUAGGGGAACCCAGCCUCUAAAUCCCAGUAUUCCAGGACAACAUGCUGCCAUACUCUCACAACACUUGCCUGUAUCAGAAAUGCUUGUAAUUUUCCCACACAGAGAAAUUUCCAUGAAAAUCAAGUUGUGGGCUGAGAGAUGAAAGGCAGCCUCAUGUUAAUUAGGCAGGCUUUGGUUUGGUCCGUCCACCAAGCUCAGGGGUGUGUGUGAAUAUCUCUAUUUUCAUACACACAUGCACACACGCACACACACACACACACACACACACGGACACGUCGCUCACACCCACCAACGCCAGUGGCGAUGAUCCAGUCCAGAUCUUUUCUAUACUGCCUUCAGAGCAC
This 2724-nucleotide long non-coding RNA is filed under the name Homo sapiens (human). Its description in RNAcentral is "HSALNT0406443". Lineage: Eukaryota; Metazoa; Chordata; Mammalia; Primates; Hominidae. The record is from RNAcentral.